Non-coding RNA from Bos taurus (domestic cattle), 57 nucleotides. The record is from Rfam. Lineage: Eukaryota; Metazoa; Chordata; Mammalia; Artiodactyla; Bovidae.
UGGCUCAGAGGUUAAAGCAUCUGCCUGCAAGGCAGGAGACCCGGGUUCAAUCCCUGG